CCAUGGCGUACUGACAGACUACAUAAAUGUAGGACUCACCUGCGGGUGUUGUAAUCCUACUUGACUGCACCUAGUACUUAUGCUCUGAAUUUGUGUGUUUUACACUUAAACUCAUUCUAGCAUGUUAGUUGGAUAUUAUUGCUAGUAGUUGGUUUUUAUUCCUUCGUAAUUCUCAUAUCUUUUGCUUCCGCAUCGCACUUUUGGUUACAUCACGCUCACGUGUCGGCCAGCACGCCUUGAUUCUAGGAUCGAGGUGUGUCACGUAUGCAUGAGGAUGUGGACAUUAUAAAUUUAAUAUCGUAGCCAAAUACACAAAUAUAAAAAUUGAAUAACGUAAAGUAUUAAAUUUAGUAGGUAUUGAACAUUGAUUAUUAAUCCGUAGUAUCACCACUAUAGUAUUACAACAUAAUGUUAUUUCUUUUUACAUGUAAAUGUGAGAUAUUAGGGUCAAAUUUCACAAAUAAGGAGUUUGAUAUCAAAUUAUUGUUAGCUCAAUCUGAUGCUUAUCUGAAUCACCAUCUCUAUAAAAAUAAAAAAUAAAAAAUAAUGAAAACGUCAAUGUGAACAUUAUUACCACGUGUGAAUCUGAAAAUUCCCUAAGUAGAGAUAAAUUAGAAAUCUUUUAGGGUCUAGGAAGAUAUUUCAUAUUAUACUUGUCUUACUUGGAGAGCAAGUUAUUCUCUCCCCCUUAUUAUUAUAAAUAAAGGCACAAAGCAUGAAGAAUAACACACAGAAAUCCUCAAGCCAUUAUCCACAUUCUCUUUGCCACACCUUUACUUUCCCUCUCUAAAUUUUGACUACAACACUUUAUUAGCACGCUCUUGAACUAUAGUAAAGAGAAUUUGUACAUUGUCAAUCAGGAGAAUAUUACGUUUCAAUCGUUAUUAUUAUAAUUAAAUGCUUUACUUUAUUGAAUGAAUAUACUUGCUAUUGAUUCAAUUUAUUUUUUAUGUCGAAUGUGAUACAAAACUUUCAAGAUGGAAACCUGACAUUGGAGGAAGAACUCUUACAAACCCGUUCACAAAAUUGAUCAUUACAAUAUAGGUAGGUUCUUCUAUAACAUGGUCUUAAUUUUCGAAUAUUUUUUAGCUUGAUUGCAUCAAAACAUUCACCAUGAUGCAUGAACUCAACUUUUAUGCGUUUCGAAUUAUAAAUUCUUCUUAAAUUUGUUUGCAUUAUUUUAUACAUGUAUUUUAUUGUGAUGGAUUGAAUACGUGUGAAUAAAUAAAGAAAAAGGAAGAAAAAAAACUCUCAUUGGAGCCAUGGUUGGAAGCCGUGGGCUCGUACCAAGCCGAGUUGAGCUAAUGCGCAACAGCCACAAUCCUGCAGCUUGCUGGGCUACCCCCAAGGAUUUAAAUAUCGCCGAUAUUUUCUCUUUUUUGAGUUACCGAUAUUUUAAUGAGUAUCCAAUGAGUUUUCUUCAAAAUAUCGCAAUAUUAUCGAUAAUAUCGCGAUAUUAUCGCGAUAUGACAUCCAAAAAUUCUUAAAAUUUUCUGAAAAGUCUCAAUUUUGAGACCAAAGGGAUUCGAACCCCCUCCCAUUUGACUCCUUAACGCCUUAACCACCAUAUCACUUAUGUUGUUGUGAUAAUAUGCUACUAUAUUUAUAUAUAUUGUUUUGUUUUGAAUUCUUUUUACAAGAAACAAAUUUGCACAUAUUCCA
Molecule: long non-coding RNA, 1662 nt
Filed under: Malus domestica (apple)
Lineage: Eukaryota; Viridiplantae; Streptophyta; Magnoliopsida; Rosales; Rosaceae
Description: long non-coding RNA (MDOM_LNC010353)
Source: RNAcentral